UACCUGCAGCCCAAGUGGUGGUCGAUUUUAUUGAGUCUAAAACGUUCGUAGCCGGUCUGAUAAAUCCUUGGGUAAAUCGGAAAGCUUAACUUUCCGAAUUCCGAGGAGACUGUCAGACUUGGGACCGGGAGAGGCUAGAGGUACUUCUGGGGUAGGGGUAAAAUCCUGUAAUCCUAGAAGGACCACCGGUGGCGAAGGCGUCUCACUAGAACGAAUCCGACGGUGAGGGACGAAGCCCUGGGGCGCAAAC
This 250-nucleotide ribosomal RNA is filed under the name uncultured archaeon. RNAcentral describes it as "partial 16S ribosomal RNA". It matches the Rfam family "Archaeal small subunit ribosomal RNA", at positions 474 to 724 of the family's 1478-position model. The record is from RNAcentral.